Long non-coding RNA from Medicago truncatula (barrel medic), 1380 nucleotides. RefSeq lists it as uncharacterized. The transcript is spliced from 3 exons. The record is from RefSeq and is a predicted model, not a curated record. NCBI's taxonomy places the organism in Eukaryota, Viridiplantae, Streptophyta, Magnoliopsida, Fabales, Fabaceae.
CUAUAUACAGUGAAUCUCCAACUCAACAUUACAAUACUUCUGUCUCAAAGAGAAAGUGGACCGACCUAUUCUUGUUGUUUCUGUAUUCAAUUUUCUAGGGAAAGGUUUUCCAGCUGUGGUCAAAAUCAUUACAGACGGAAAAAUGAGCAACCAGAGGGUAAAGAAGAAGCAUCACAUCAAGUUGAAGGCUCAAGUAGUUCUGUUAAUGAGCAGGAAAAUUCAGACAAUUCUCGAGAUCAGCCCUGAUCAUAUCCAAUUUUAUUGGACAUCCCUUUUGACAAAUGGUACAUAAAAUGAAAUCAAUUUGCGAGAGGCCUGCUAAAGUCUAGAUUUAAUGGAAGUACAUUGUUGUCAGCUGUUUCCUUUCACCGACAAAUGGGAAUUCGCCAACCAGAAUUUUAAGCGGGGUCAGAUGUAUCUGCUGCCAGCAAUCAAGCGUCGGAAGACCCAACCGCUAGCAGCAGUAAAAUUAGCUGGUGAUGGCUGGAACUCGCCGUCAAACUCCGGUGGCGAUGACAUGGGUUCAACCUUAACAGGAUCAGUAGAACUAAAUACCCAUUGCCCCGAUUUAUCAAGUGAGAACAAAAAAUUGAUAAAAGAGAACGAGAAAUUGAGCUGUGAAUUGGCACGUGAAAGAAGCAGUGCAGCGAGUUGGUAGCUUUUCUACGGGAUACUGUCAAUGUGGGACAUGAUCAGGUUAACUGCAUCAUCCGGCAAGGAACACAUGUGUCUAGUCUCAAUGUGGAGCGUUUUGAUGAUGACCAUAUUGGAGUAGGUGAGGUGCGUAUUUCAGAUUACUCCUGCAGGGAAGACAUGGCAUGAACCACAUCUUUCAUGUUAACUGCAUCAUUCGGCAAGGAACAAAGGCUCUACAUUCACCUAUUGCAAUAUUGUCAUCAUCCAAACGCACCACGUCAGGGAUGGACCCACUUGUCUCUUGUCGAUCAUGCAAUUAAUCUGAUCUGGUCCCACAUUGACAAUGUCCUGUAGAAAAGCUACUAACUUGUUGCACUACUUCUUCGCAAGUGCCGAUUCACCUUUCAAUUUCUCGUUGUCUUUUUUUAAUCUUUUGUUCUCAAUGGAUAAAUCAUGCAACGGGUGUUUGGUUCUACUGAUCCCGUCGAGGUUGAUCCCAUAUCUUCAGCACCAGAGUUUCACGCCGAGUUCCUGCCGUCAUCAACAGAUUUUACAACUGCUGGCGACUGGGGAACACUUGAUUGCUGGCAGCAGCUCCAUCUGUCCUCACUUGAAAUUCUAGUAGGCAAAUUCCCAUGUGCAUAGGUUCCAGCAGUUAUUGGUCAGGUUCAUGAGAAUGUAGAAUGUGACAGAUUUAUCAUUUUGCACAAGUUAAAGAUAUUGUUAAUUAUGUCUUUGCCAUCU